GGAAUUGUGCCUGAACUUGAAGGGCCACUUUGAUAGAGUGAAUCAUGGGGGUUAAAAUCCCCCCAACUCCU
RNAcentral lists this transfer RNA (71 nucleotides) under Procetichthys kreffti. RNAcentral describes it as "tRNA-Ile". It matches the Rfam family "tRNA". Rfam says of the family: Transfer RNA (tRNA) molecules are approximately 80 nucleotides in length. Their secondary structure includes four short double-helical elements and three loops (D, anti-codon, and T loops). The record is from RNAcentral. Lineage: Eukaryota; Metazoa; Chordata; Actinopteri; Beryciformes; Cetomimidae.